This 469-nucleotide ribosomal RNA is filed under the name uncultured Pelotomaculum sp. RNAcentral's name for it is "bacterial SSU rRNA". It matches the Rfam family "Bacterial small subunit ribosomal RNA", at positions 916 to 1382 of the family's 1533-position model. The record is from RNAcentral. Lineage: Bacteria; Bacillati; Bacillota; Clostridia; Eubacteriales; Desulfotomaculaceae.
GGGGCCCGCACAAGCGGUGGAGCAUGUGGUUUAAUUCGACGCAACGCGAAGAACCUUACCAGGGCUUGACAUCCCCUGACCGCGUAUGAAAGUACGUUUUCACCCUCGGGUGACAGGGAGACAGGUGGUGCAUGGUUGUCGUCAGCUCGUGUCGUGAGAUGUUGGGUUAAGUCCCGCAACGAGCGCAACCCCUACGUUUAGUUGCUAACGCGUGAAGGCGAGCACUCUAGACGAACUGCCGUUGACAAAACGGAGGAAGGUGGGGAUGACGUCAAAUCAUCAUGCCCCUUAUGUUCUGGGCUACACACGUGCUACAAUGGCCGGUACAGACGGACGCAAAGCCGCGAGGUGGAGCAAAUCCUAAAAAGCCGGUCUCAGUUUGGAUUGCAGGCUGCAAUUCGCCUGCAUGAAGUCGGAAUCGCUAGUAAUCGCAGGUCAGCAUACUGCGGUGAAUACGUUCCCGGGCCUU